UAUAUCAUAUGCCUUUCGUAAGUCCACUUUAAGAGCAUGCAUCUUCACAAGAUUUAUCUGAUUGUAUCCGUGUAAUAGUUUCCUGAGCAAACAUGAUAUUCUCGCUGAUUUUCGCCUUCCCAGGAUGAAAGCAUUUUAACUUCCAUCGAUUAUUUUAUGGAGCACAAAUUGACAGUAAUCUUAGCGAUGAUCUUGUACAGUUUAUUGCAACACGAUAUAUAUUUGCCUAAGACCCGCCAUUACCAUCAUAGAUUGAACCUUGGCUACCAAUGUUACUAAGGUCACAUUGUCUUGUUUAAGAAGUCGUCCUGUUUGAAAGAAUUGUACAACAGAAGCAACUAUGUCAUCUCAAAUAAUCGGUCAAACACCUUUGGAGAAUCUAGCCGAAUAACCAUUAGGUCUGGGUGCUUUAUUACAUCAAUGGAAAAGACAACCUGUUUGACCUCUUUCGACCGAUUAGACCUUGCACGACGCCUCAUCCCAGCUAAGAAUACUUGGUAGUGCAGACUUUAAGGCCAUAAGAUCAAUCUCCCUCGUUAACGUUACUCCUUCCGAUAGAUUCAUAAAGUAUGUAAUAAACCCCCUUUCAACUUGAGAUGCAUCACUAACUGUUUCUCCCAAGGAGGUCUGAUUCUUCAAAAUUUUCUGUGUUGCAAUCAAAAGAUAACUGAGUGCAUUGAUCACCAUCACGUAUCCACUGUAUUUUGGCUUCUUGUUGUAACAUAGACUGCUCCUGUUCAACCACAUUAACAUAUACCACCCCACAUAUCUUGCAAUAAACUGUUGGGUGUGGGAACUCUUGUAACAAAGUUUGGACUUGGCCAAGAUAGUGCCUCGCUUCUUCCACAUUGAUUGAUAAAUCCUCAUUCUUCCUCCUCGUAUGCCAAAAGAUAGGUUUAAGUCGCUUAAGUUUCAUAACAACGGCAUACAUAUGAACCUGGCGGCGGACUAUUCCCACUUUUAGCAGGGAAUAACGGCUCCAAAAAGAGGGGAAGAAAGAGAUAUUUUUCAUGGCAAAACUGUUCUGCCUUUUCUCAUUACUCAGCAAAGGCCUGGUGAAUUGUCUAUGGAUUUUCUAGUGGGUUUCUCCAGCAUCUUGGUACUGUUGGGCUGCACCUGACUCUCCCUCGGGCCCAAGUCCGUAUCACUGCCCGGUCUUUAGGAAUGACCUUGCCCCCAAGGUCGAAUUCUGGAAAUGACGAUUGGAACUCCAAGGCGUUGAUCCAGGCUGCGUCGAGGGCGUCUUGCCCUUCCCAUUGGACCAAAUACUGCUUGCAGCCACGGGGUUCCUCAAAGCGGCACCGCAGAAUACAUCGGGAAUAGUGAGACCGAGAAUGAAGGGGAGAAUCGCUUGUGGCUGCUCCUACUGUUGAAAGAAGAAAAAUGAAAUAAAGAAAUAAGAGAGGUGGAAAAUAAAAAAAAAAAUUAGAGAAAUAAAAGAAAGAAAGAAAAGAAAAAAAAUGGAAAAGAUAAGAAGUGGAAAAUAAGGGGUGGUUGGCGAAAGCAAAAAAAAAAAGGGAAAGAAAAGGGGAAGAAAGAAAGAAGAAAGAGAAAAGAGAAAGAAAGAAAGGAGAAAGAGGAAAAUAGAGGAGAGAGAGAGAGAGCAACGGUUAGGCGGCGGCGAGAGAGGUGAGAAGUGGUUGGCUGCAAUUGUAAAAAGAGAAGAUGAGAUUUGGGGAUAUAGGGUUUUGAUUUUUGAUUUU
Non-coding RNA from Sesamum indicum (sesame), 1703 nucleotides. The record is from RefSeq and is a predicted model, not a curated record. NCBI's taxonomy places the organism in Eukaryota, Viridiplantae, Streptophyta, Magnoliopsida, Lamiales, Pedaliaceae.